This 208-nucleotide unclassified non-coding RNA is filed under the name soil metagenome. Its description in RNAcentral is "partial contains 5.8S ribosomal RNA, internal transcribed spacer 2, and large subunit ribosomal RNA". The record is from RNAcentral.
AACCAUAGAAACCUGCGGAGUACCUGCGGAAGGAUCAUUAUCGAGUUGCAAAACUCCAACCCUUUGUGAACAUACCUCAGUCGUUGCUUCGGCGGUGGACGGCCUUUUUUCGAAAAGGCCCGAAGCCGCCGGAGGUUCCAAACUCGAGUUUUGUUUAGUGUAUCUCUGAGCCUGAAAACAAAUAAUCAAAACUUUUAACAACGGAUCU